Molecule: ribosomal RNA, 535 nt
Filed under: uncultured bacterium
Lineage: Bacteria
Description: bacterial SSU rRNA
Rfam family: Bacterial small subunit ribosomal RNA
Source: RNAcentral
CCAUGCCGCGUGUCUGAAGAAGGCCUUCGGGGUUGUAAAGGACGUUUUGUCAGGGAGCAAAACUUACUGGUUAAUACCCGGUGAGGCUGAGAGUACCUGAAGAAUAAGCACCGGCUAACUACGUGCCAGCAGCCGCGGUAAUACGUAGGGUGCAAGCGUUAAUCGGAAUUACUGGGCGUAAAGCGUGCGCAGGCGGACUUUUAAGCCAGAUGUGAAAGCCCCGAGCUUAACUUGGGAAUUGCGUUGGAACUGGGAGUCUAGAGUCUGUCAGAGGGGGAUGGAAUUCCACGUGUAGCAGUGAAAUGCGUAGAGAUGUGGAGGAACACCGAUGGCGAAGGCAGUCCCCUGGGAUAAGACUGACGCUCAUGCACGAAAGCGUGGGGAGCAAACAGGAUUAGAUACCCUGGUAGUCCACGCCCUAAACGAUGUCUACUAGUUGUUGGGGUAGCAAUACCUCAGUGACGCAGCUAACGCGUGAAGUAGACCGCCUGGGGAGUACGGUCGCAAGAUUAAAACUCAAAGGAAUUGACGGGGG